This 1857-nucleotide ribosomal RNA is filed under the name Triticum aestivum (bread wheat). RNAcentral's name for it is "partial small subunit ribosomal RNA". Lineage: Eukaryota; Viridiplantae; Streptophyta; Magnoliopsida; Poales; Poaceae. The record is from RNAcentral.
AUGCGGCCUCGCCGUCGCCGGGGCCGAGCGACGAGUCGCCCCGUCCCGCCGCCUCCCUCGUCGGCCUGCAUGGACCCGCCGCCUCCCUCAUCGGCCUGCAUGGACCCGCCGCCUCCCUCGUCGGCCUGCCCCGUCCCGCCGCCUCCUUCGUCGGCCUGCCCCGUCCAGCCGCCUCCCUCGUCGGCCUGCCCCGUCCCGGUGCCUCACUCGGGGGCCGGCGAGCUUGUACGGCAGCCUCUACGGAUCCCCCAACCUCCUGCUUCUCAACAACUGACACUUCAACAAAAGGUCAGCGAGAUGCAUGAAAGGUUCCUUCAGUUGAGUGAUUUACAAAAAAUCAAAAGACAUGUUGAUUCACUGCUGCAAGACUUGAGGAAAGCAGCAGAACUUGCCUCCAAAGAACAACUCAUAAUUUCCGGGCUUGUUGAGAGACAAAGUGGAGAUUAUUUCUUUGGAUGUCAGCCUACUUCGUUCAUCAACACAUUUGGCCCAAUAGUGAAAUUAUUGGAUAAAAUGUGUCAGCAAAAUAAUAAGAUCUUGAAUGGUCUCGAGACUGGUUUGCUCCUCUAUUUCAAUGAUGAGGAUCCUUUACUAUUGCAUGUGCAAAAUCUUCAAAAGAGAAGCAAGCAACUGUCUAAGAUUGUAGCUAAACCGGCAAGUAGAUUUGUCCACUACGAUAGCCGUGUCAAUGUUGAACUGAAAUGGAUUUCUCAGUUUCCAAUAGUUUCAGAAAUCUGCCUGCAACAGUUUUCCACCAUUAUGCCAACACUGAUUGCUUUGCAAAAGGACCUGUCAGUUGUGAGUCAAGCCCUUGAUGAACUUGCAUCUUGCAAGGAUGCUUCUCAAGAUUUCUGCUCGAAGUUCCGUACUUUGCACAUAUUACCGAUGACCUUGGAUUCCAUUCAAUCAAUGUCAAGGAGUUCUACUACCAUCGUGCAAGCCGUGGAUGACAUUUGCUCUCAAUGCAAGAAUCUGACAAGUGUUUAUCAAGAAAAGGAAAUAAUUGCUUUGGGAUUUAUUGGAUGUGAGCGGUUUGUAAAGAAAAUGGUCUCCGAGGUUGAGGGUCCACUAAGUGAACUUCAUCAACAAGUUAUCAAUGCUAAAAAGUUGUAUGAUCGCAAGUUCAGCCGCCUAACAGUGAUGCAAAAGGACCAGACACAAAAGUGUACAUGUAUAAGGAAGCAGACGGCCUCUCUGACUUCAGUUGGAGGUUUAGAUUUAUUAAUGGCAGGAGCAUUAUGCCAUCACUUAGGGACCAGAGAAGAGGCCAAUGUGCAUAUGCUUCAACGAUGUCAUGUACUGAAUCACUUUACAAAAGAGAGAAUUGGAACUGAAACUUAUCUGUCAGAGGAGUUCAUUCUGAAUCUUUCGCUGGAACAUCUUAGAGAUCUGGUUGAUGCAUUUUGUGCAACAAAUUCUAUUAAAGGCCACAACACGCUUGAUUACUAUCUCGAAGCUCAGGGUGUCAUAACCGAAGAAGCAUACGACAACGCAAAAGAAAAUUUUCACAGUUACCGACGUUAUCGCAUAAAGGAAUUUGAGAAGCUUAAUACAGCCAGAGUUAAAGAGGGUCAUGCCUUAUUGGAGGAUGGAAUAGCUCUUAUUGGGAACUUCAGAGUCACAACCGACUAUCAUAGGCUUGGACGCAACGACGUAUAUGACAUUCCUGAGGGCGCAACAUUUGAGACAAAUCCUUCAGGGCAGUAUUGCUCCCACUGUGUGGUCAUCAUAGGUUAUGGCGUCACAAGUGAUGGGCUGUCGUACUACAUUUUUCAAAACUCGUACGGUAAAAAGUGGGGAGACAAAGGUCGAAUAGCUUGUAGUUGUCUCAAGUAUCUUUACCGUGCGAGUGUUUAG